AAGAUGGUUACUCUGAUGGUAAGAGUUGUUUGCUGUUAAUUGUCAUUUUCUUUGUCUUUUACUAGUCAUGAGAUAUUAUAUUUUGUUCUGCAUUGUCAACAUAAUUUUCCUUUACAUUGACUAAUAAUUUACUAGUUAGGUUAUUGUCUGAUUAAUUAGUGUUCUGGUAUUCAUGUUAUGAAUGACACAAAUAUUUUAUAUCUAUUUCUUCUGCCCAAGUUCUUGAGCAUGUUCCUUGUUGUGUUUAUGAUAUGCGAGCAAACUAUGAAAAUGCAAAAAUAGAAACAUGUGGUUAGUCUAAUGUAGAAUGUAGAGUUGUUGGGCUUCUUUGUAUCUUUACAAUGUUAGCCCAGUUGUACAAAGAAAUGUGAUUACUUGAGAAAGCCUUUGAACGGAGAAGACAAAUGUAAUUUGCUAUGGUGAUACACAAUUUACAUCAAACAUUUAAUAGGAAAGUCAUUAAUUUAAUGCCCAAUUGACGUGGCAUGUCACACGAAAAAGGAUCGACACAUGAUCAA
This 518-nucleotide unclassified non-coding RNA is filed under the name Hevea brasiliensis (rubber tree). The record is from RNAcentral. Lineage: Eukaryota; Viridiplantae; Streptophyta; Magnoliopsida; Malpighiales; Euphorbiaceae.